This 250-nucleotide unclassified non-coding RNA is filed under the name plant metagenome. RNAcentral's name for it is "partial contains small subunit ribosomal RNA, internal transcribed spacer 1, and 5.8S ribosomal RNA". The stretch from base 203 to 250 matches the Rfam family "5.8S ribosomal RNA", at positions 1 to 48 of the family's 154-position model. The record is from RNAcentral.
GUAGGUGAACCUGCGGAAGGAUCAAUGCAGAGAAGUGGGGUUUGUUGGUGGUGGGGUUGUUGGGUGUGUGGGUUGGGAAAGGAGGGGAGAAAUCUUUUUCUUUUUUGAUCCACCAGCCAUCCACCAGCCAUAUACAAUAGCGCAUGUUUUGUAGUCAGAGUGUGUACGGCCAGCAAUGACCGUAAUAAAGAAAACAAGAAACAACUUUUAACAAUGGAUCUCUUGGCUCUUGCAUCGAUGAAGAACGCAG